AUACGUAGGUGGCAAGCGUUGUCCGGAUUUACUGGGUGUAAAGGGCGUGUAGGCGGAGAUGCAAGUCAGGAGUGAAAUCUAGGGGCUCAACCCCUAAACUGCUUUUGAAACUGUAUCCCUUGAGUAUCGGAGAGGCAGGCGGAAAUCCCAGUGUAGCGGUGAAAUGCGUAGAUAUUAGGAGGAACACCAGUGGCGAAGGCGGCCUGCUGGACGACAACUGACGCUGAGGCGCGAAAGCGUGGGGAGCAAACAGGAUUAGAUGCCCUGGUAGUCCACGCUGUAAACGAUGAAUACUAGGUGUGGGGGGACUGACCCCCUCCGUGCCGCAGUUAACACAAUAAGUAUUCCACCUGGGGAGUACGAUCGCAAGAUUGAAACUCAAAUGAAUUGACGGG
RNAcentral lists this ribosomal RNA (395 nucleotides) under uncultured bacterium. RNAcentral describes it as "partial 16S ribosomal RNA". It matches the Rfam family "Bacterial small subunit ribosomal RNA", at positions 523 to 917 of the family's 1533-position model. The record is from RNAcentral.